AUGCAUCGAUGUAUAGUUGACCGGGAAAUAUGAUUGAAAAUCCAUUGAUUUUUGGUUGACCGGGAGAUCAACGGGUGGUAAACCAACGACACAAGCUCAUUUCUGGACCCUUGGCACAAGCGUAGCUACAGAGUCUUUGAAAAAAUUAAAAAAUGUCCAGAUGGUGCGUUGUGCAGUUCAGCAAUGGUGCAACAGAAACUGUGCCAAACACAUGGGUGGAAGGGGAUAAAGUCUUCUGGCCCCCAUACCCUCCUAAGGACUCUAUUAGGCUGAAUGCAGCCAUCCUGAACAGAGAACAGCCUGGACAGGGAUGGCACACAUAUCAACCUAUCCGGCUCCUCAUAACUCGUGAUAGCCAUGAUGAGGCAGUGAGGAGCCUGGACAGAUAUGUGAAUAAAGACUGUGACACCACUGACAUCCAGUCUGAGGAGGAGAGCCACCAUGGCCUAAAAAGAAAAAGAAGACCAAAUCCAUUGUAUCAUUCCGAUGAGGAGCCCCAGAAUGAGCGGAGAUUCGCCCAAGCCCCCAAAGUUUUACUUCCAGCAAUCCAACUAGCCAGUCAGGACAGCCAACCACCACCACCUCCACGAAUACAUCAAACCCUCCAGUGCCCCAAUUCCCCCAUGUGUUCUUACCCCAAUGUCCCAGCAUUGUUCCCUGGAGAUGAAUUGGCGUUCUCCCCCAUGAAUUUACUCCAGAGGCCAUCUCCUGAAGAUGUGGCCAUGCAAAAACUUCUUACUGCAGUGACAGAGUUGUCCAAGGAGGUGAAGGACCUGCGAGAGGAGUUCAGGCAAUUCCGCCAGUCCUGCAAGUGUGGACAGUCGGAGUCUGUGGGACGGCCACUGGCGGAGCCCUUGGAGCUGCCCCUCCGCACUAUGGAGGCCCUGGACCGUAAGAGAU
Gasterosteus aculeatus aculeatus (three-spined stickleback) is the source of this 900-nucleotide long non-coding RNA. Lineage: Eukaryota; Metazoa; Chordata; Actinopteri; Perciformes; Gasterosteidae. The record is from Ensembl.